UCUAAUACCGGAUACGACACCGGGAGGCAUCUCCUCGGUGUGGAAAGCUCCGGCGGUGCAGGAUGGGCCCGCGGCCUAUCAGCUGGUUGGUGAGGUAACGGCUCACCAAGGCGACGACGGG
RNAcentral lists this ribosomal RNA (121 nucleotides) under Streptomyces viridosporus. Its description in RNAcentral is "partial 16S rRNA". It matches the Rfam family "Bacterial small subunit ribosomal RNA", at positions 162 to 283 of the family's 1533-position model. Lineage: Bacteria; Bacillati; Actinomycetota; Actinomycetes; Kitasatosporales; Streptomycetaceae. The record is from RNAcentral.